UCAGUUCCUGUGGUCAGCAAGCUGUCUGGGGAGUCCAUGCACUGCAGAAUUGAGAGUCGCGCACCAGAGCAGWGAGUGUCACCUUGUUGCCCUCUUCUGAUGGAAAGACUGCUUCACCCCUGCCUCAGUGACAUCUGGGAGAAACAUCCUCGGGCCCAGCUUCGCRUAGGACAGCUGUUGCUCCCCACAGCCCCCUUUGCCCACUGUGCUCUUUUCCAGGAGAGGCUGAGAGAGUGCGAUCUUAGACUUGAAAGAAGAAAGACUUAGAUCCAGGUGAACACAUGAUCUCCAAAGAGCAGAGAGUUUGCCAGGUCUUGAGGAUAUGAGCU
RNAcentral lists this long non-coding RNA (329 nucleotides) under Dromaius novaehollandiae (emu). Its description in RNAcentral is "lncRNA (ENSDNVG00000009946.1)". The record is from RNAcentral. Lineage: Eukaryota; Metazoa; Chordata; Aves; Casuariiformes; Dromaiidae.